CGGGGGGGGCAAGCGUUGUUCGGAAUUACUGGGCGUAAAGGGCUCGUAGGUGGCCAACUAAGUCGGACGUGAAAUCCCUCGGCUUAACCGGGGAACUGCGUCCGAUACUGGUUGGCUUGAGUUUGGGAGAGGGAUGCGGAAUUCCAGGUGUAGCGGUGAAGUGCGUAGAUAUCUGGAGGAACACCGGUGGCGAAGGCGGCAUCCUGGACCAAUACUGACGCUGAGGAGCGAAAGCCAGGGGAGCAAACGGGAUUAGAUACCCCGGUAGUCCUGGCCCUAAACGAUGAAUGCUUGGUGUGGCGGGUAUCGAUCCCUGCCGUGCCGAAGCUAACGCAUUAAGCAUUCCGCCUGGGGAGUACGGUCGCAAGGCUG
RNAcentral lists this ribosomal RNA (372 nucleotides) under uncultured organism. RNAcentral describes it as "bacterial SSU rRNA". It matches the Rfam family "Bacterial small subunit ribosomal RNA", at positions 526 to 896 of the family's 1533-position model. The record is from RNAcentral.